Molecule: non-coding RNA, 89 nt
Organism: Oryza glaberrima (African rice)
Lineage: Eukaryota; Viridiplantae; Streptophyta; Magnoliopsida; Poales; Poaceae
Source: Rfam
UACUUCCUCUGUCCCAGAAUAAGUUAAUCAAGUGCUGGAUGUAACACAUCCUAGUACUAGAUUAACUUAUUCUGGGACAGAGGGAGUAG